This 969-nucleotide ribosomal RNA is filed under the name uncultured archaeon. RNAcentral's name for it is "bacterial SSU rRNA". It matches the Rfam family "Archaeal small subunit ribosomal RNA", at positions 84 to 1058 of the family's 1478-position model. The record is from RNAcentral.
UACGGCUCAGUAACACGUCGGUAAUCUGCCCUUAGGUCGGGGAUACCCUCGGGAAACUGAGGAUAAACCCCGAUAGGAGAUGACGCCUGGAAUGGUCCAUCUCUCAAACUCGCGCCUAAGGAUGAGCCGGCGGCUGAUUAGGCAGUUGGUGGGGUAAUGGCCCACCAAACCGAAGAUCAGUACGGGCCAUGAAAGUGGUAGCCCGGAGAGGGACACUGAGAUACUGGUCCCAGCCCUACGGGGUGCAGCAGUUGCGAAAACUUUACAAUGCACGCAAGUGUGAUAAGGGGAUCCCAAGUGCUCAUGUUUUACAUGGGCUUUUGCCAAGGGCAGGAACCUUGGCGAAUAAGUGGUGGGUAAGACUGGUGCCAGCCGCCGCGGUAACCCCAGCGCCACAAGUGGCAAUCGCGAUUAUUGGGUCUAAAGCGUCCGUAGCCGGUUCGGUAAAUCUCUUGUGAAAUCGUCGGACUCAACCUGACGAAUGGCAGGGGACACUGCCGAGCUUGAGACCGGAAGGAGUGUGAAGUAUGGUGUGGGGAACGGUAAAAUGUGAUAAUCCACACUAGACUACCAAUGGCGAAGGCAUCACACCAGGACGGAUCUGACGGUGAGGGACGAAAGCUAGGGGAGCGAACCGGAUUAGAUACCCGAGUAGUCCUAGCUGUAAACGCUGUGAGCAAGGUGUUGCAUAUUCCUCGGGAAUAUGCAGUGUCGAAACGAAGGUGUUAAGCUCACCACCUGGGAAGUACGGUCGCAAGACUGAAACUUUAAGGAAUUGGCGGGGAAGCACCACAAGGGGUGCGGCGUGCGGUUUAAUCUAACUCAACACAGAACACCUUACUAGGAGCGACGGCAGGAUGAAGGUCAGUCUGAAGGGCUUACCCAACGAGCCGAGAGGUGGUGCAUGGCCGUCGCCAGCUCGUGCUGUAAAGUGUCCUUUUAAGUAAGGUAACGAGCGAGACCCCCCCA